AACUAUUAAUGUAGGAAGCGUAUGAUCAGGUUUUCAUGCUCACAUGUGAAAUGAACCUCCCUCAAACCCGGUUACGCUAUCAGCACAUUAUCUAUCUGAUG
Molecule: small nucleolar RNA, 101 nt
Organism: Saimiri boliviensis boliviensis (Bolivian squirrel monkey)
Lineage: Eukaryota; Metazoa; Chordata; Mammalia; Primates; Cebidae
Product: small nucleolar RNA U13
Source: RefSeq, a predicted model, not a curated record